Molecule: ribosomal RNA, 468 nt
Filed under: uncultured bacterium
Lineage: Bacteria
Description: partial 16S ribosomal RNA
Rfam family: Bacterial small subunit ribosomal RNA
Source: RNAcentral
GAUGAACGCUGGCGGCGUGCCUAACACAUGCAAGUCGAGCGAUCUUCUUCGGAAGAGAGCGGCGGACGGGUGAGUAACGCGUGGGUAACCUGCCCUGUACACACGGAUAACAUACCGAAAGGUAUGCUAAUACGAGAUAAUAUACUUUUAUCGCAUGGUAGAAGUAUCAAAGCUCCGGCGGUACAGGAUGGACCCGCGUCUGAUUAGCUAGUUGGUAAGGUAACGGCUUACCAAGGCGACGAUCAGUAGCCGACCUGAGAGGGUGAUCGGCCACAGUGGAACUGAGACCCGGUCCAAACUCCUACGGGAGGCAGCAGUGGGGAAUAUUGCACAAUGGGCGAAAGCCUGAUGCAGCAACGCCGCGUAAGCGAUGAAGGCCUUCGGGUCGUAAAGCUCUGUCCUCAAGGAAGAUAAUGACGGUACUUGAGGAGGAAGCCCCGGCUAACUACGUGCCAGCCGCCGCAGUAA